RNAcentral lists this ribosomal RNA (466 nucleotides) under uncultured bacterium. Its description in RNAcentral is "bacterial SSU rRNA". It matches the Rfam family "Bacterial small subunit ribosomal RNA", at positions 329 to 793 of the family's 1533-position model. The record is from RNAcentral.
UUCCAGACUCUUACGGGAGGCAGCAGUGAGGAAUAUUGGUCAAUGGGCGCGAGCCUGAACCAGCCAAGUCGCGUGAGGGAAGACGGUCCUAUGGAUUGUAAACCUCUUUUGUCGGGGAGCAAAAGACGCCACGUGUGGCGUUCCGAGAGUACCCGAAGAAAAAGCAUCGGCUAACUCCGUGCCAGCAGCCGCGGUAAUACGGAGGAUGCGAGCGUUAUCCGGAUUUAUUGGGUUUAAAGGGUGCGCAGGCGGAAGAGCAAGUCAGGGGUAAAAUUGGGAGGCUCAACCUCUUCGAGCCGUUGAAACUGGUUUUCUUGAGUGAGCGAGAAGUAUGCGGAAUGCGCAGUGUAGCGGUGAAAUGCUUAGAUAUUGCGCAGAACUCCGAUUGCGAAGGCAGCAUACCGGCGGCGAUCUGACGCUGAGGCACGAAAGCGUGGGUAUCGAACAGGAUUAGAUACCCCCGUAA